AGAGUAAUAGCUCAGUGGCAGAGCACAUGCUUAGCAUGCACAAGGUCCUGGGUUCUAUCCCCAGUACCUCCA
RNAcentral lists this transfer RNA (72 nucleotides) under Camelus bactrianus (Bactrian camel). It matches the Rfam family "tRNA". Rfam says of the family: Transfer RNA (tRNA) molecules are approximately 80 nucleotides in length. Their secondary structure includes four short double-helical elements and three loops (D, anti-codon, and T loops). RNAcentral also lists the same sequence under 2 other names. The record is from Rfam by way of RNAcentral. Lineage: Eukaryota; Metazoa; Chordata; Mammalia; Artiodactyla; Camelidae.